AGGAUGAACGCUGGCGGCGUGCCUAACACAUGCAAGUCGAACGUCCUGUCUCGCAAGAGGCAGGGAGUGGCGGACGGGUGAGUACCACGUGGGUUAUCUACCGUGAGGUGAGGAAUACCGGCGAGAAAUCGCCGACAAAACCGCAUAGGCUCGAUGCAAGUCGAGCAAAGCUUUCUCGCAAGAGGGAGCGCCACACGAGGAGCCUGCGCCCGAUUAGCUGGCUGGUGGAGUAACGGUUCACCAGGGCGACGAUCGGUAGCUGGUCUGAGAGGACGAUCAGCCACACUGGGAUUGAGAACGGCCCAGACUCCUACGGGGGGCAGCAGUGAGGAAUUUCGUCAAUGGGGGCAACCCUGAACGAGCAACGCCGCGUGCAGGAAGAAGGUUUUCGGAUCGUAAACUGCUUUUCUCGGGGAAGAGAACGGACGGUACCCGAGGAAGAAGCCCCGGCUAACUACGUGCCAGCAGCCGCGGUAA
RNAcentral lists this ribosomal RNA (477 nucleotides) under uncultured bacterium. RNAcentral's name for it is "SSU rRNA". It matches the Rfam family "Bacterial small subunit ribosomal RNA", at positions 26 to 523 of the family's 1533-position model. The record is from RNAcentral.